CAAUAGCGUAUAUUAAAGUUGUUGCGGUUAAAAAGCUCGUAGUUGGAUUUCUGCCGAGGACGACCGGUCCGCCCUCCGGGUGAGCAUCUGGCUCGGCCUAGGCAUCUUCUUGGGGAGCGUAUCUGCACUUCAUUGUGUGGUGCGGUAUCCAAGACUUUUACUUUGAGGAAAUUAGAGUGUUUCAAGCAGGCCCACGCCUUGAAUACAUUAGCAUGGAAUAAUAAGGUAGGACCUCGGUUCUAUUUUGUUGGUUUCUAGAAUUGAGGUAAUGAUUAAUAGGGAUAGUUGGGGGCAUUCGUAUUUAACUGUCAGAGGUGAAAUUCUUGGAUUUGUUAAAGACGGACUACUGCGAANGNAUUUGGNAAGGAUGUUUNCAUUG
RNAcentral lists this ribosomal RNA (379 nucleotides) under uncultured eukaryote. Its description in RNAcentral is "partial 18S ribosomal RNA". It matches the Rfam family "Eukaryotic small subunit ribosomal RNA", at positions 592 to 975 of the family's 1831-position model. The record is from RNAcentral.